This 985-nucleotide ribosomal RNA is filed under the name uncultured bacterium. Its description in RNAcentral is "bacterial SSU rRNA". It matches the Rfam family "Bacterial small subunit ribosomal RNA", at positions 51 to 1026 of the family's 1533-position model. The record is from RNAcentral.
ACACAUGCAAGUCGAGCGGAAACGAGUUGUCUGAACCUUCGGGGAACGAUAACGGCGUCGAGCGGCGGACGGGUGAGUAAUGCCUAGGAAAUUGCCUUGAUGUGGGGGAUAACCAUUGGAAACGAUGGCUAAUACCGCAUAAUGCCUACGGGCCAAAGAGGGGGACCUUCGGGCCUCUCGCGUCAAGAUAUGCCUAGGUGGGAUUAGCUAGUUGGUGAGGUAAUGGCUCACCAAGGCGACGAUCCCUAGCUGGUCUGAGAGGAUGAUCAGCCACACUGGAACUGAGACACGGUCCAGACUCCUACGGGAGGCAGCAGUGGGGAAUAUUGCACAAUGGGCGAAAGCCUGAUGCAGCCAUGCCGCGUGUGUGAAGAAGGCCUUCGGGUUGUAAAGCACUUUCAGUUGUGAGGAAAAGUUAGUAGUUAAUACCUGCUAGCCGUGACGUUAACAACAGAAGAAGCACCGGCUAACUCCGUGCCAGCAGCCGCGGUAAUACGGAGGGUGCGAGCGUUAAUCGGAAUUACUGGGCGUAAAGCGCACGCAGGCGGCUUGUUAAGCUAGAGGUGAAAGCCCCGCGCUCAACGUGGGAACUGCCUUUAGAACUGGCAGGCUAGAGUCUUGGAGAGGGGAGUGGAAUUCCAGGUGUAGCGGUGAAAUGCGUAGAUAUCUGGAGGAACAUCAGUGGCGAAGGCGGCUCCCUGGCCAAAGACUGACGCUCAUGUGCGAAAGUGUGGGUAGCGAACAGGAUUAGAUACCCUGGUAGUCCACACCGUAAACGCUGUCUACUAGCUGUUUGUGUAUUUAAUACGUGAGUAGCGAAGCUAACGCGCUAAGUAGACCGCCUGGGGAGUACGGCCGCAAGGUUAAAACUCAAAUGAAUUGACGGGGGCCCGCACAAGCGGUGGAGCAUGUGUUUAAUUCGAUGCAACGCGAGAACCUUACCUAAUCGUCGACCUGCAGCAUGCAGCUGCACUGCGUCGUUUAC